RNAcentral lists this ribosomal RNA (301 nucleotides) under uncultured bacterium. RNAcentral describes it as "partial 16S ribosomal RNA". It matches the Rfam family "Bacterial small subunit ribosomal RNA", at positions 509 to 809 of the family's 1533-position model. The record is from RNAcentral.
CAGCAGCCGCGGGAAUACGAAGGGGGCUAGCGUUGUUCGGAAUUACUGGGCGUAAAGCGCACGUAGGCGGAUAUUUAAGUCAGGGGUGAAAUCCCAGAGCUCAACUCUGGAACUGCCUUUGAUACUGGGUAUCUUGAGUAUGGAAGAGGUUAUUGGAAUUGCGAGUGUAGAGGUGAAAUUCGUAGAUAUUCGCAGGAACACCAGUGGCGAAGGCGGCUAACUGGUCCAUAACUGACGCUGAGGUGCGAAAGCGUGGGGAGCAAACAGGAUUAGAUACCCCGGUAGUCCCUGUCUCUUAUAU